RNAcentral lists this ribosomal RNA (500 nucleotides) under uncultured bacterium. Its description in RNAcentral is "bacterial SSU rRNA". It matches the Rfam family "Bacterial small subunit ribosomal RNA", at positions 28 to 533 of the family's 1533-position model. The record is from RNAcentral.
GAUAAACGCUGGCGGCGUGCCUAAAACAUGCAAGUCGAACGGGCGCUUUCGGGCGUCAGUGGCGAACGGCUGAGUAACACGUGGGUGACCUGCCUUCGAGCGGGGGAUAACUGCCCGAAAGGGUGGCUAAUACCGCAGAUGUCGUUUCUUCGGUGAGGCGACUAAACCGAUUAGGGUUCGAAGAGGGGCCUGCGUCCGAUUAGCUAGUUGGUGGGGUGAAGGCCUACCAAGGCGACGAUCGGUAGCUGGUCUGAGAGGAUGAUCAGCCAGACUGGGACUGCGAGACGGCCCAGACUCCUACGGGAGGCAGCAGUUAGGAAUUUUGGGCAAUGGGCGGAAGCCUGACCCAGCAACGCCGCGUGGGUGACGAAGGCCCUCGGGUCGUAAAGCUCUUUCGGCCGGGAAGAAAUCGCAUGGGCUAAUACCCUGUGCGGAUGACGGUACCGGCAUAAGAAGCACCGGCUAACUACGUGCCAGCAGCCGCGGUAAGGCGUAUGUGU